RNAcentral lists this ribosomal RNA (447 nucleotides) under Triticum aestivum (bread wheat). RNAcentral describes it as "partial small subunit ribosomal RNA". Lineage: Eukaryota; Viridiplantae; Streptophyta; Magnoliopsida; Poales; Poaceae. The record is from RNAcentral.
AUGCGAACUGGGAGUACUACGAGCUGGGCCGGUCGGCGUCGCGCACAAGGUGGACUUCCGCGAGGGCGACGGGCUCGCGGAGCUCGACAAGAUCCUGUCCGAGGACGGCGGCGCCAGGGCCGGCACUUCGACUUCGCGUACGCGGACGCGGACAAGCUGCAGUACGCGGGGUACCACGAGCGGCUGCUGCGCCUGGUGCGCGUCGGCGCCGCCAUCGCCUACGACAACACGCUCUGGGGCGGCUCCGUGGCGAUGCCCCGUGACAAGCCGGGCAGCUCCGAGUACGACCGCUGGUGCGGGACAGCCUCGUCGGGUUCAACGCCGCCGUCGCGGCGGACGACCGCGUCGAGGCCUGCAUCGUCCCCAUCGCCGACGGCGUCACGCUGUGCCGCCGCGUCAAGUGAGAUGCAUAUCUACCAGCCGUGUCAGAUGCAUAUCUGCCAGUAG